RNAcentral lists this ribosomal RNA (407 nucleotides) under Acanthamoeba genotype T4. RNAcentral's name for it is "SSU rRNA". The record is from RNAcentral. Lineage: Eukaryota; Discosea; Longamoebia; Acanthamoebidae.
CUGACCCAGAUCGUUGACAAAGAAAAAAUGAGAGUGUCCAAAGCAGGCAGAUCCAAUUCUCUGCCACCGAAUACAUGAGCAAGGGAUAAUGGAAUAGGUCCUCGUCUUCUCAUUUUCAGUUGGUUGCGGCAGGGCGAGGGUYUAGGGUAAUGAUUGAUAGGGAUAGUCGGGGGCAUUAAUAUUUAAUAGUCAGAGGUGAAAUUCUUGGAUUUGAGAAAGAUUAACUUAUGCGUAAGCCUAGGCCAAGGAUGUUUUCCUUGAUCAAGAAUGAAAGUUAGGGGAUCGAUGAGGAUCAGUUGCAGUCGUAGUCUUAACCGUAACCGACCCGGACCAGGGAGUAGGAGACGCGAAACCACACCAUCGCCGUCGUCGCCGUCGUCUSUGCGUCGUCAUGCGUGGCCGGCUCG